RNAcentral lists this long non-coding RNA (1011 nucleotides) under Vulpes vulpes (red fox). Its description in RNAcentral is "lncRNA (ENSVVUG00000008106.1)". The record is from RNAcentral. Lineage: Eukaryota; Metazoa; Chordata; Mammalia; Carnivora; Canidae.
GUCUCUCUCUGUCUCUCCCUCUGUCUCUGUCUCUCUGUUUCUCUGUCUCUAUUUCUGUCUCUCUGUCUCUCUUUAUCUCUCUGUCUCUAUCUCUGUCUCUCUGUCUCUCUCUGUGUCUCUGUCUCUGUCUCUCUGUCUCUCUGUCUCUAUUUCUGUCUCUCUGUCUCUCUUUAUCUCUCUGUCUCUAUCUCUGUCUCUCUGUCUCUCUCUGUGUCUCUGUCUCUGUCUCUCUGUGUCUCUUUCUCUAUCUCUGUCUCUGUCUCUGUCCCUGUCUCUCUCUGUCUCUGUCUCUGUCUCUCUGUAUCUCUGUCUCUCUGUCUCUGUCUGUCUGUCUCUAUCUCUGUCUCUGUCUCUCUGUCUCUGUCACUCUCUGUCUCUGUCUCUCUGUGUCUCUCUGUCUCUCUUUCUCUCUGUGUCUCUCUCUCUGUUUGUCUCUUUCUCUCUGUCUCUGUCUCUGUCUGUCUCUGUCUGUCUCUGUCUGUCUCUGUCUCUCUGUCUCUAUCUCUGUCUCUGUCUCUCUCUCUGUCUCUUUCUCUCUCUGUCUCUGUCUCUCUGUCUGUCUCUGUCUCUCUCUGUCUCUCUGUCUCUAUCUCUGUCUCUGUCUCUUCUCUGUCUCUGUCUCUGUCUCUCUCUGUCUCUGUCUCUCUGUCUCUGUCUCUCUCUCUGUCUCUGUCUCUGUCUGUCUCUUUCUCUCUGUCUCUCUCUAUCUCUGUCUCUGUCUCUGUCUCUUUCUCUCUGUCUCUCUCUCUGUGUCUCUGUCUCUGUCUCUUUCUCUCUCUGUCUCUUUCUCUGUCUCUGUCUCUGUCUCUCUCUGUCUCUGUCUCUCUGUCUCUAUCUGUCUCUUUCUCUCUGUCUCUCUCUGUCUCUCUCUCUGUCUCUGUCUCUCUCUGUCUCUCUGUCUCUGUCUCUCUCUGUCUCUGUCUCUGUCUGUCUCUCACGGGCACACACACGAGGGGAGCGUGCCUGCUGUGCAGCCCGGAGACACGGAGACAGGCAGUCAGGCCCGGGGCU